RNAcentral lists this transfer RNA (59 nucleotides) under Loxodonta africana (African savanna elephant). It matches the Rfam family "tRNA", at positions 14 to 71 of the family's 71-position model. Rfam says of the family: Transfer RNA (tRNA) molecules are approximately 80 nucleotides in length. Their secondary structure includes four short double-helical elements and three loops (D, anti-codon, and T loops). Further hydrogen bonds mediate the characteristic L-shaped molecular structure. tRNAs have two regions of fundamental functional importance: the anti-codon, which is responsible for specific mRNA codon recognition, and the 3' end, to which the tRNAs corresponding amino acid is attached (by aminoacyl-tRNA synthetases). tRNAs cope with the degeneracy of the genetic code in two manners: having more than one tRNA (with a specific anti-codon) for a particular amino acid; and 'wobble' base-pairing, i.e. permitting non-standard base-pairing at the 3rd anti-codon position. Lineage: Eukaryota; Metazoa; Chordata; Mammalia; Proboscidea; Elephantidae. The record is from Rfam by way of RNAcentral.
AGUAGAUAAGCAUUUGACUGCUAAACAAAAGAUUGGUGGUUCAAACCCACCAGCUGCUC